UACAGAGGUCUCAAGCGUUGUUCGGAUUCAUUGGGCGUAAAGGGCGCGUAGGCGGCGGGGUAGUCGGGGGUGAAAUCUCAGAGCUCAACUCUGAAACUGCACUCGAUACUGCUCUGCUUGAGGACUGGAGAGGAGACUGGAAUUCACGGUGUAGCAGUGAAAUGCGUAGAUAUCGUGAGGAAGACCAGUGGCGAAGGCGGGUCUCUGGACAGUUCCUGACGCUGAGGCGCGAAGGCCAGGGGAGCAAACGGG
Molecule: ribosomal RNA, 252 nt
Filed under: uncultured bacterium
Lineage: Bacteria
Description: partial 16S ribosomal RNA
Rfam family: Bacterial small subunit ribosomal RNA
Source: RNAcentral